RNAcentral lists this ribosomal RNA (575 nucleotides) under uncultured bacterium. RNAcentral describes it as "bacterial SSU rRNA". It matches the Rfam family "Bacterial small subunit ribosomal RNA", at positions 8 to 573 of the family's 1533-position model. The record is from RNAcentral.
AGAGUUUGAUCAUGGCUCAGGAUGAACGCUAGCUACAGGCUUAACACAUGCAAGUCGAGGGGCAGCAUCAUCAAAGCUUGCUUUGAUGGAUGGCGACCGGCGCACGGGUGAGUAACACGUAUCCAACCUGCCGACAACACUGGGAUAGCCUUUCGAAAGAAAGAUUAAUACCGGAUGGUAUAGUUUUCCCGCAUGGGAUGAUUAUUAAAGAAUUUCGGUUGUCGAUGGGGAUGCGUUCCAUUAGGCAGUUGGCGGGGUAACGGCCCACCAAACCUACGAUGGAUAGGGGUUCUGAGAGGAAGGUCCCCCACAUUGGAACUGAGACACGGUCCAAACUCCUACGGGAGGCAGCAGUGAGGAAUAUUGGUCAAUGGACGAGAGUCUGAACCAGCCAAGUAGCGUGAAGGAUGACUGCCCUAUGGGUUGUAAACUUCUUUUAUACGGGAAUAAAGUGAGCCACGUGUGGCUUUUUGUAUGUACCGUAUGAAUAAGGAUCGGCUAACUCCGUGCCAGCAGCCGCGGUAAUACGGAGGAUCCGAGCGUUAUCCGGAUUUAUUGGGUUUAAAGGGAGCGUA